GGUGGUUUUGCCAGUGGUUUAAGAAGGUGAAAAGUGUGUAAAAACUGUUGUUUUCUCAUUAAAUAUUGCCCAAAAGUUUCAAAAAACGUCCGAUGUUUCCAUAAUUUGCAUUAAUUAACAGUGAUCAGAACAUUUUUCCAGUCGAUAAAUCGAGUGACCGUCAGUGCGUGCUUAGUGCGCGAUUUUUUAAAUUUCAAGUGAUUAAAGUGCCAAUGGAAGGAAUCUUCAGGGAACCUGGACGCUAUAAUCGUGCUACAAGGAUCAGGAUUAAAGGUAGGUCCGUUCAAAGAAGAAGAGGGAACGAAGAGGAGGCCAGGGUGAGUGAAUUUUAAUUUUUUCUAAGUGUGGUGAAGUGUGUGAAGUGAAAAUGUGAGUGUAACAUUUUAGAACGCAGUAAGUAUUUAUAAGUAUCGAAAUAUGAGUGAAAAUUAAUUAAUUAAUUGUAGAUGAAACGCAAUUUUCUCCAAUCUUUUGAAGAAAAUCCAGAUAUUUGACGAAGCAUCUCUUAAAUAAUGAAGAAAAACAUUCACAGCAAGCUCGAGACUAAGUAUAUUAUGACUCGAGUGACUGAAAGUGCGUGUUGUGGAUUUUUGAGUGUUUAACAGACAUUUAGUAGUGCGCGAUUUUUUAAAUUUCGAGUGAUUAAAAUGCCAAUGGAGGGGAUCUUCAGGGAACCUGGACGCUAUAAUCGUGCUACAAGGAUCAGGAUUAAAGGGUUAGUUGUCAAAGUUUUUUUUAUAAAAAAAAAUUAAGUAUAAAUCUGUAACGUUAUACAUAAAUUUAUUUAUCAAAAAUUUUUAUACUGAUCUUGUAUUUUUUUAUUUUCAGUAGGUCCGUUCUAAGAAGAAGAGGGAACGACGAGGAGGCCAGGGUGAGUGAAUUUUAAUUUUUUUCUAAGUGCGGUGAAGUGUGUGAAGUGAAAAUGUGAGUGCAACAUUUUAGAACACAGUAAGUAUUUAUAAGUAUCAAAAUAUGAGUGAAAAUUUAUUAUUUAAUUGUAGUUGAAACGCAAUUCUCUCAAAUCUUUUGAAGAAAAAUUUCCAGAUAUUUGACGAUGCAUCUCUUAAAUAUUGAAGAAAAACAUUCACAGCAAGCUCGAGACUAAGUAUAAUGUACGAAUUUGGUUUUGUUUUUUUUUCAUUACUAAUUUUUUCAAUUUUUUGUUUCAGAUGACUCGAGUGAUUGAAAGUGCGUGUUGUGGAUUUUUGAGUGUUUAACAGACAUUUAGUAGUGCGCGAUUUUUUAAAUUUCGAGUGAUUAAAGUGCCAAUGGAGGGGAUCUUCAGGGAACCUGGACGCUAUAAUCGUGCUACAAGGAUCAGGAUUAAAGGUAGGUCCGUUCUAAGAAGAAGAGGGAACGACGAGGAGGCCAGGGUGAGUGAAUUUUAAUUUUUUUCUAAGUGCGGUGAAGUGUGUGAAGUGAAAAUGUGAGUGCAACAUUUUAGAACACAGUAAGUAUUUAUAAGUAUCAAAAUAUGAGUGAAAAUUUAUUAUUUAAUUGUAGUUGAAACGCAAUUCUCUCAAAUCUUUUGAAGAAAAAUUUCCAGAUAUUUGACGAUGCAUCUCUUAAAUAUUGAAGAAAAACAUUCACAGCAAGCUCGAGACUAAGUAUAAUGUACGAAUUUGGUUUUGUUUUUUUUUCAUUACUAAUUUUUUCAAUUUUUUGUUUCAGAUGACUCGAGUGAUUG
This is a long non-coding RNA of Tribolium castaneum (red flour beetle), 1687 nucleotides long. RefSeq lists it as uncharacterized. Lineage: Eukaryota; Metazoa; Arthropoda; Insecta; Coleoptera; Tenebrionidae. The transcript has 5 exons. The record is from RefSeq and is a predicted model, not a curated record.